Molecule: transfer RNA, 90 nt
Filed under: Pseudobdellovibrionaceae bacterium
Lineage: Bacteria; Pseudomonadati; Bdellovibrionota; Bdellovibrionia; Bdellovibrionales; Pseudobdellovibrionaceae
Description: Bdellovibrionaceae bacterium (activated sludge metagenome) tRNA-Ser
Rfam family: tRNA
About the family: Transfer RNA (tRNA) molecules are approximately 80 nucleotides in length.
Source: RNAcentral
GGAGAGCUGGUAGAGUGGUCGAUUACACCAGUCUUGAAAACUGGCAGGCCUUUACGGGCCUCGAGGGUUCGAAUCCCUCGCUCUCCGCCA